This 1325-nucleotide ribosomal RNA is filed under the name metagenome. RNAcentral describes it as "bacterial LSU rRNA". It matches the Rfam family "Bacterial large subunit ribosomal RNA", at positions 1561 to 2925 of the family's 2925-position model. The record is from RNAcentral.
AGUGGAUGGGGAGCAACCUAGUUGUGCGUGUGUAAAGGUAGUGCCAAGAAAAGCGAUGAUCAUGUUGAAAAUCAAUUCCCGGUACCCGAAACCGACACAGGUGGGCAAGUAGAGAAUACUAAGGGGCGCGAGGUAACUCUCUCCAAGGAACUCGGCGAAAUGACCCCGUAACUUAGGGAGAAGGGGUGCCACCGAGAGGUGGUCGCAGUGAAGAGGCCCAGGCGACUGUUUAGCAAAAACAUAGGUCUCUGCAAACUCGAAAGAGGAGGUAUAGGGGCUGACGCCUGCCCAGUGCCGGAAGGUUAAAGAAGUUGGUCAGUCUUAGGAUGAAGCUAGCGACUGAAGCCCCGGUGAACGGCGGCCGUAACUAUAACGGUCCUAAGGUAGCGAAAUUCCUUGUCGGGUAAGUUCCGACCCGCACGAAAGGCGUAACGAUCUGGGCGCUGUCUCGGAGAGAGGCUCGGCGAAAUAGGAUUGUCUGUGAAGAUACGGACUACCUGCAUUUGGACAGAAAGACCCUAUGAAGCUUUACUAUAGCUUGGAAUUGUGAUCGGGCUUCCUGUGCGCAGGAUAGGUGGGAGGCGUAGAAGGUAUUCUUGUGGGGAUACUGGAGCCAACGGUGAGAUACCACUCUCAGGAGGCUAGAAUUCUAACUUAAUUAAGGACAGUUUCAGGUGGGUAGUUUGACUGGGGCGGUCGCCUCCAAAAAGGUAACGGAGGCGUACAAAGGUUCCCUCAGACUGGUUGGAAAUCAGUCGAAGAGUGCAAAGGCAGAAGGGAGCUUGACUGCGAGAAGUACUGUUCGAGCAGGGUGGAAACACGGUCUUAGUGAUCCGACGGUGCUGUGUGGAAGGGCCGUCGUUCAACGGAUAAAAGUUACUCUAGGAUAACAGGCUGAUCUCCCCCAAGAGUUCACAUCGACGGGGAGGUUUGGCACCUCGAUGUCGGCUCAUCGCAACCUGGGGCGGAAGUACGUCCCAAGGGUUGGGCUGUUCGCCCAUUAAAGCGGUACGUGAGCUGGGUUCAGAACGUCGUGAGACAGUUCGGUCCAUAUCCGAUGUAGGCGUGAGAAUAUUGAGAGGAGCCUUCCUUAGUACGAGAGGACCGGGAAGGACGCACCGCUGGUGUACCUGUUAUGAUGCCAAUUGUAAACGCAGGGUAGCCAAGUGCGGAGAGGAUAACCGCUGAAAGCAUCUAAGUGGGAAGCCCACCUCAAGAUGAGUAUUCUGGUGUAAGGUCACGGGAAGACGACCCGUAAAUAGGCACGAGGUGGAAGUGCAGAGAUGUAUGAAGCCGAAGUGUACUAAUAGACCGUCGGCUUGAUC